AUCAAAUGAGGAAAGUUCAAGAAAAAUUUAGCUUAUAUGUACUACUUACUCUGCUGCCUUCUGGAAAUAACCUGGUGGUGGAAUGAUUUGUCCAGCAACACUUGGUAAAGAUUCAGCAAAAAAUGCAGCAAACUGAAAAGUUAAAUGUUUGUAACAAUAGUGAAACUAGCUUUAGAAGGAUAAAUUUACAUUGCAAUUCCUUAAAACUUGAAACAGUAUUUGAGAAACAGCUGUGAGCAAUGUGCCUAAUCUGGAAAGCUGUCAGUAGCAAGCUACAUGAUUGCAUGCUGCUGUUCAUAAAUAUCUCUCACUGAUAUCUGUAUCUGUAUCCAGACAGCCUUUCUGAGCACAACUCACACUUCUUGUUAGGCUGAAAUAUGUUUGUUGUGAUGUACCCGAUUUUUUUUAAGUUAAUCAAAGGUUUCCUUUAUUCUACCUUUCUACUUUUUUGGUGUCCUUGAUCAAUUAUUUUUUUUACUUCAUUGGCAUAUGCUGAGCCUGGAUCCUUGUGGUCUUCUCUAAACAAUCCUCGGUUAGCACUUGCAGAGACAUGCUGACAUGAGCAAAGCUGUUGUGGUGGAGCUUAUGAAGAGAGGCAGACCCACAGAUAUGAGGGACCAAGGCCAUGAAGGUCUUUGAUGUAUGUGAUAGCCAAUACCUUAAAUUGUGUCCAGUAAACACAUAGGUGAGUGACUAAUUUUUAAUAAUUUCUGAAUUAUAGUGAAUUAAAAAUGUUUUAUAUACUUACUGAUCCAUUACAAUAACAUCCUCAUGCUUUGUAUAUUGCCGGGCCAGUCUCAGGGCAAGAUCAUUAGCUUCUGAUCUACAAUCGAAAAGUUCCAUGAUGGUUUUAUUGUACAUAUACAGCCAAACAAUGAUCUCCCAAGCAUUGUUUUAUAUCUGCAGUUUACAGAACUGAGUGGUCAGACUCUGGAUUUACACAUAGGCACAAAAAUGAGUAUGUACAAAAAGUAAACAUUGUGAUGUGAUGCUACGCCAUGGGUUGGAAACGAUCCAGUGCUUGCAAAAGGGACUACCUUUACCUUAUUACAAAAAGCACCACUGAGUGAACAUUACAGUUUUUAUAUAGCCAAUGUACACACUUUUCUAACGAAACAUUUCAGUGUCACAGACUGCUUGAUGCAUUCACCUUGUGGUAUAUAUUCCAAAUUGGUUCUGUUUAAAAAAUCAAGUGAAAAUAAAUACUAGUUAUCAAAACAAA
Sphaerodactylus townsendi is the source of this 1222-nucleotide long non-coding RNA. RefSeq lists it as uncharacterized. The transcript is spliced from 2 exons. Lineage: Eukaryota; Metazoa; Chordata; Lepidosauria; Squamata; Sphaerodactylidae. The record is from RefSeq and is a predicted model, not a curated record.